UUCCGUUUUUUGGCACUAGCACAUUUUUGUGUUUCGAUGCUACGACAAAAAUUGUGGUAGUGUCAAGCAAUAGGAA
Molecule: non-coding RNA, 76 nt
Organism: Ixodes scapularis (black-legged tick)
Lineage: Eukaryota; Metazoa; Arthropoda; Arachnida; Ixodida; Ixodidae
Source: Rfam